GAUGAACGCUGGCGGCGUGCCUAAUACAUGCAAGUCGAGCGAACAGACGAGGAGCUUGCUCCUCUGACGUUAGCGGCGGACGGGUGAGUAACACGUGGAUAACCUACCUAUAAGACUGGGAUAACUUCGGGAAACCGGAGCUAAUACCGGAUAAUAUAUUGAACCGCAUGGUUCAAUAGUGAAAGACGGUUUUGCUGUCACUUAUAGAUGGUUCCGCGCCGCAUUAGCUAGUUGGUAAGGUAACGGCUUACCAAGGCAACGAUGCGUAGCCGACCUGAGAGGGUGAUCGGCCACACUGGAACUGAGAUACGGUCCAGACUCCUACGGGAGGCAGCAGUAGGUAAUCUUCCGCAAUGGGCGAAAGCCUGACGGAGCAACGCCGCGUGAGUGAUGAAGGUCUUCGGAUCGUAAAACUCUGUUAUUAGGGAAGAACAAAUGUGUAAGUAACUAUGCACGUCUUGACGGUACCUAAUCAGAAAGCCACGGCUAACUACGUG
RNAcentral lists this ribosomal RNA (497 nucleotides) under uncultured bacterium. RNAcentral describes it as "partial 16S ribosomal RNA". It matches the Rfam family "Bacterial small subunit ribosomal RNA", at positions 28 to 507 of the family's 1533-position model. The record is from RNAcentral.